RNAcentral lists this ribosomal RNA (516 nucleotides) under Abatus cavernosus. RNAcentral's name for it is "partial 16S ribosomal RNA". It matches the Rfam family "Bacterial large subunit ribosomal RNA", at positions 1817 to 2531 of the family's 2925-position model. Lineage: Eukaryota; Metazoa; Echinodermata; Echinoidea; Spatangoida; Schizasteridae. The record is from RNAcentral. RNAcentral also lists the same sequence under 2 other names.
CGCCCUCUGAAUCCUAAUAUAGAGGGUCCUGCCUGCCCAGUGACUAAAAGUUAAACGGCCGCGGUAUCUUGACCGUGCGAAGGUAGCAUAAUCACUUGUCUCCUAAAUAGAGACUGGUAUGAAUGGCAAGACGGAACUUUACUGUCUCCUCCUCUUUAGUCUGAAUUUCACUAUCCCGUGAAGAGGCGGGAAUCUAAUCGUAAGACGAGAAGACCCUGUCGAGCUGUAGCAAAACUUUGGCUAUUACUAGCCUCCUAUCUUAACUAAUAAAUAACACUACAAGCUAAGUGAAGUGUAAUAGACCAAAGCAAGCUUUGAUUGGGGCAAUCACGGAGAAAGAAAAUCCUCCGUUACUAAUUGGUUUUAUCUAACUUAACUCAAAAGAACUAAUUAUUCUAAAAUCACAAAAUGAAGAUACGAUCCACUCACAGUGAUCAAAAGAAAAAGUUACCGCAGGGAUAACAGCGUUAUCUUUUCUAAGAGUUCAUAUUGACGAAAAGGUUUGCGACCUCGAUG